CCUACGGGGGGCAGCAGUAGGGAAUUUUGCGCAAUGGGCGAAAGCCUGACGCAGCAACGCCGCGUGAUCGAUGAAGCUUCUAGGAGCGUAAAGAUCUGUCGUGAGGGAAGAAAAAUUCGGAGGUAAAUAAUUUUCGUUUUUGACGGUACCUCACAAGAAAGCACCGGCUAACUUCGUGCCAGCAGCCGCGGUAAUACGAGGGGUGCUAGCGUUGUCCGGAAUCAUUGGGCGUAAAGGGUCCGUAGGCGGUUUAACAAGUCAAUUGUUAAAGACAUCGGCUUAACCGAUGGAAUGCAGUUGAAACUGUUAGAAUAGAGUUUAGGAGAGGAAAGUGGAAUUUCUGGUGUAGCGGUGACAUGCGUAGAUAUCAGAAGGAACACCAAUGGCGAAGGCAACUUUCUGGCCUAAAACUGACGCUGAGGGACGAAAGCGUGGGGAGC
This 440-nucleotide ribosomal RNA is filed under the name uncultured bacterium. RNAcentral's name for it is "bacterial SSU rRNA". It matches the Rfam family "Bacterial small subunit ribosomal RNA", at positions 338 to 769 of the family's 1533-position model. The record is from RNAcentral.